UACGAAGGGGGCUAGCGUUGCUCGGAAUCACUGGGCGUAACGGGUGCGUAGGCGGCCGUUCAAGUCGGGGGUGAAAGCCUGUGGCUCAACCACAGAAUUGCCUUCGAUACUGGACGGCUCGAGACCGGAAGAGGUCAGUGGAACUGCGAGUGUAGAGGUGAAAUUCGUAGAUAUUCGCAAGAACACCAGUGGCGAAGGCGGCUGACUGGUCCGGUUCUGACGCUGAGGCGCGAAAAGCGUGGGGAGCAAACAGG
Molecule: ribosomal RNA, 254 nt
Filed under: uncultured bacterium
Lineage: Bacteria
Description: partial 16S ribosomal RNA
Rfam family: Bacterial small subunit ribosomal RNA
Source: RNAcentral